GACGAACGCUGGCGGCGUGCUUAACACAUGCAAGUCGAACGGAAAGGCCCUGCUUUUGUGGGGUGCUCGAGUGGCGAACGGGUGAGUAACACGUGAGUAACCUGCCCUUGACUUUGGGAUAACUUCAGGAAACUGGGGCUCAUACCGGAUAGGAGCUCCUGCUGCAUGGUGGGGGUUGGUAAGUUUCGGCGGUUGGGGAUGGACUCGCGGCUUAUCAGCUUGUUGGUGGGGUAGUGGCUUACCAAGGCUUUGACGGGUAGCCGGCCUGAGAGGGUGACCGGCCACAUGGGGACUGAGAUACGGCCCAGACUCCUACGGGAGGCAGCAGUGGGGAAUAUUGCACAAUGGGCGGAAGCCUGAUGCAGCAACGCCGCGUGCGGGAUGACGGCCUUCGGGUUGUAAACCGCUUUCGCCUGUGACGAAGCGUGAGUGACGGUAAUGGGUAAAGAAGCACCGGCUAACUACGUG
RNAcentral lists this ribosomal RNA (468 nucleotides) under uncultured bacterium. RNAcentral's name for it is "partial 16S ribosomal RNA". It matches the Rfam family "Bacterial small subunit ribosomal RNA", at positions 28 to 507 of the family's 1533-position model. The record is from RNAcentral.